RNAcentral lists this ribosomal RNA (305 nucleotides) under uncultured bacterium. RNAcentral's name for it is "partial 16S ribosomal RNA". It matches the Rfam family "Bacterial small subunit ribosomal RNA", at positions 508 to 807 of the family's 1533-position model. The record is from RNAcentral.
ACAGCAGUCGCCGCGGUAAUACGAAGGGUGCAAGCGUUACUCGGAAUUACUGGGCGUAAAGCGUGCGUAGGUGGUGGUUUAAGUCCGUUGUGAAAGCCCUGGGCUCAACCUGGGAAUUGCAGUGGAUACUGGGUCACUAGAGUGUGGUAGAGGAUAGUGGAAUUUCCGGUGUAGCAGUGAAAUGCGUAGAGAUCGGAAGGAACAUCUGUGGCGAAGGCGACUAUCUGGGCCAACACUGACACUGAGGCACGAAAGCGUGGGGAGCAAACAGGAUUAGAGACCCCGGUAGUCCCUGUCUCUUAUAC